Ruditapes philippinarum (Manila clam) is the source of this 462-nucleotide long non-coding RNA. RefSeq lists it as uncharacterized. The transcript is spliced from 3 exons. The record is from RefSeq and is a predicted model, not a curated record. NCBI's taxonomy places the organism in Eukaryota, Metazoa, Mollusca, Bivalvia, Venerida, Veneridae.
UUAACUUUAUGCACGUUCGGUGACGUCACGUUUAUUAUAUUUUCGUUGAAAGAUCUGAAGUUACUUCAAUUCCAGCAUUCCUAGUGCAAAGAGGAAGGGCUAAACAUAGUAUGGGAUGGUUGAUUGCAGAAGACAAUAUUUAGCGAGAGUCCAACCUUUUAUAUUUUGGUAAACAUAAAUCAAUCCGUUGAUUGGAUGUGGCAAGAGCUUUCCAUAUUUCCAAGUUAGGAGAGGCUAAAUGGGUUCUGUUUGAAAAGAUCCAGCAUUUUUGAAAAGCAAUUAACAGAUGCGAAACAAUGUGUCUCUGUGAAAAGGGCAGGCUAAAGGUUUCAACAGCACCGGCCGAAAAAGUGGUGAUAUAAUUUCAGCAUUGAACAAGGGCAGGGCAAUAUGUAUAUAUACAUGUGUAGCGUUGUCAGACUAUAUGGAUAGUCGGGCCUCGGUGACAAAAAAUGAUGAAAU